GUAGGUGGCAAGCGUUGUCCGGAAUUAUUGGGCGUAAAGCGCGCGCAGGCGGUUCCUUAAGUCUGAUGUGAAAGCCCACGGCUCAACCGUGGAGGGUCAUUGGAAACUGGAGAACUUGAGUACAGAAGAGGAAAGCGGAAUUCCACGUGUAGCGGUGAAAUGCGUAGAGAUGUGGAGGAACACCAGUGGCGAAGGCGGCUUUCUGGUCUGUAACUGACGCUGAGGCGCGAAAGCGUGGGGGAGCAAACAGGAUUAGAUACCCUGGUAGUCCACGCCGUAAACGAUGAGUGCUAAGUGUUAGGGGGUUUCCGCCCCUUAGUGCUGCAGCUAACGCAUUAAGCACUCCGCCUGGGAGUACGGCCGCAAGGCUG
This 371-nucleotide ribosomal RNA is filed under the name uncultured organism. RNAcentral describes it as "partial 16S ribosomal RNA". It matches the Rfam family "Bacterial small subunit ribosomal RNA", at positions 527 to 896 of the family's 1533-position model. The record is from RNAcentral.